ACUCCACAGUGCCGCAAAGUUGUCCACGAUGACAUCCACCGCUGCCAUGUUGAACUGCGGACACUUGGAACAAGAAUGAUCUGGGGAUUGGACGAGACUGGUGAGGCCACCUCCAAGGUGAUAGUGAACAUCUUCAUCACCCACGGUUCUCCUGAGGUCAUCUCGAGUUUUGGAAGGUAGGCUAUACUUUCCAAAACUGUUGAAAAGUACAUUUCUCCCUUUUAUAAUACCUUACAGGCCGUCAUUGUAAAUAAGAAUUUGUUCUUAACUGACUUGCCUAGUUAAAUAAUGGUUACAUUUAAAAUUAAAAUAAUCAAAAAUGCUGGGGACAAUAAAAGGCCACUCUAAAAUGUGCAGUUUUGUCACACAACACAAUCCCACAGAUGUCUCAAGUUGAGGGAGCAUGCAAUUGGCAUGCUGACUGUAGGAAUGUCCAACAUAGCUGUUGCCAGAGAAUUUAAUCUUAAUUUCUCUACCAUAAGCCUUCUCCAACGUUGUUUGAGAGAAUUUGUCACUACGUCCAACCGGCCUCACAACCGCAGACCACGUGUAACCACGCCAACCCAGGACCUCCACAUCCGGCUUCUUCACCUGCGCUACCCAAACAGCUGAUGAACCUGAGGAGUAUUUCUGUCUGUAAUAAAGCCCUUUUGUGGGGAAAAACUCAUUCUGAUUGGUUGGGCCUGGCUCCCCAGUGGGUGGAUCUGGCUCCCAAGUGGGUGGGCCUAUGCCCUCUCAGGCCCACCCAUGGCUGUGCCCCUGCCCAGUCAUGUGAAAUACAUAGAUUAGGGCCAAAUGAAUUUAUUUCAAUUGGCUGAUUUCCUUCUAUGAACUGUAACUCAGUAAAAAAUCUUAGAAAUGUUUGCAUGUUGCGUUUAUAUUUUUGUUCAGUAUAGAAACGCAGGUAAAACAAAUACAAAUGCGCAUAGAUUGCUGUCAUUUCAGCUGCUUGAUCUGAUUGUGUGUAGUUGGCUAGCAAAGGAGAAGUAAAGUAAUUAGCCGAGCUAUCCUCCAUAACUAACGUUAACGUUGUAUUAUUGACUUGAUAAUCAGCAGUUUUUUGCCUAUUUAUACAUUAUUUAUUAAAUUAUUAUUUAUAAUAUAUUAUUAAGUUCUUGUCUCUCGUGAUCAUUGAACCUCUGCUAGCUACUGUAGCUAGCUAGCUACAUGCCAAGAAUUUGUUCAACAUAGCAACAAUAAAUGAAUAUAAUGAACGACUGAGUUAAAACAUCCCAAAAUAAUUAAUGACCAGCCUGUUUGCUUAGCAACUUCAGAACCUCAUAAGUAACAACUGGCUUUUGCCAUGACUAUAUCAUAUAUAACACAUUUACACAUUAAAAUAAAUGUUUUACUUAAAUGUUGGCAACCACACAUCAACACAAUGCUGGCUUUAUUCCACUUCAAAUACAGCAGGUUGCCCUCCCUCCUCCACCUUAUGGAUCCACUCUGGGAUUUCAUGGUCAGAGCAUUUGUCUCAAUGUGAACAGGGUCUUCAAGCACCAAUUUUCCUGGAUAAUAAAUCCUGGAACAGUUUUGGAAUUGUGUAGAAAUUGUCACAGUAGAGAUGGUAACCAGUGCCCAAGUAGGACGGCUGAAUGACACUCAUGACAGCGUCGUAGCAUUGUCCGUUGCCAGAGGAGGAGUUGGACUUUCCAGUGUACACACUGAAGUCAAUGGUGUAGCAAUUGCUGGAGUCAGCCAAAACAAAGGGCUUGAAGCCCCACUUGACCGGCAUUGCUCUUCAUGCACUGAGGCUUUUAAGAUUUAGCCGUAGAUGCCACCAUUUGCUCAUCGAUGGACAGAUUUCUGUAAGGAUGGUAAUAUUUAGCGAGUAUUCAAAAAAAAAAUGUAAAAAAGGUUAUGGUUAAAAAUGUUCAUGUUUUACUGUGACUUGUUGUACGCUCCUAAGUGGACCAUAAGGUUAAAAACCAAACCAAAUUAAGAAAACUAAACUAAAAAAAAAAUAAAAAAAAAUAAAAAAAUAAAAUGUGAGUGUCACUUUUGGGUCACUUUUGUACAUUUCAAUGAAACAUGGUGAAGGCCCAAAAUUGCCUACCAUGGAAGCCUUUGUUUCAGAUAUAAGGAACAGAAUGGUGAAAAAGUUGUUUGUUUUGUCCAAGUUUAAAAGUAGAAGUUCUAGGUCCCAAGAAACAAAGAGAUCUACUGUCGGAUCUGACAGUGAAUCUUGAUGGUUGUACAGUCGUCUCAAAAAAAACUGUGAAGGACUUCGGCAUUACUCUGGACCCUGAUCUCUCUUUUGUUUGAACAUAUAAAAAAUAUUUAAAGUACAGCCUUUGCAAAAAUCUUAACGUUUUGUCCCAAAAUUAUGCAUAAAAGCUAAUCCAUGCUUUUUUUCACUUCAAUAUUAGACUACUGCAAUGGUCUACUCUCUGGCUACCCAGAUAAGGCACCACAUAAACUUCAGCUAGUGCUAAAUACGGCUGCUAGAAUCUUGACUAGAACUAAAUUUGAGCAUAUUACUCCAGUACUCGCCAAUGGCUUCCUGUUAAGGCUGAUUGCUAGGGCUGAUUUCAAGGUUUAACUGCUAACCUACAAAGUAUUACAUGGACUUUCUGCUACCUAUCUCGCCGAUUGGUCCUGCCGUACAUAUCUACACAUUCACUAUGACCACAAGACGCAUGCUGCCUUAUUGUUCCUAGAAUUUCUCAGCAAAUAGCUGGAGACAUGGCUUUCUCCUAUAGACCUACAUUUUAAUGGAAUGAUCUGCCGAUCUAUGUGAGAGAUGCAGACUGUGUUUCAUCCUUUACUGAAGACUCAUCUCUUCAACAGGUCCUAUGAUUGAGUGUAGUCUGGCCAGGGAUGUGACGGUGAACGGCAAGGCACUGGAGUGACGAACCACCCUGGCCGGCUCCCCUCUCUCCACUGGGAGAGGGUCUCUAACCCUAUUAUGGGGGCUGAGUCACUGGCUUGCUCACGCUAUACCAUGCCGUCCCUAGGAGUGGUUUAUCUCGUCGUGCCAGGCUUUUUUCUGCUAUACUCAACCUGAGUGGGUUGAGUCACUGACGUGAUCUUCCUUCCUAUCCUCGGGCUCGUGUUGUGGGAGAGAUCUUUGUGGGCUAAAUUCGGCCUUGUCUCAGGGUAGUGAGUUAGUGGUCUGUUGAUAUCCCUUUAGUGGUGUGGGGGCUGUGCUUUUGCAAAGUGGGUGGGGUUAUAUCCUGCCUGGUUGGCUCUGUCUGGGGGUAACUUUGGACGAGGUCUCCUGUAUAUAAGCUGCAAUAGUUUAUGUGCCAGGGGUCUAGGGUCAGUCUGCAAUAUCUGGUGCAAUUAUUUUAUUAUUAUUAUGUUUAUUUGUCAGGGACCAUGUAUAACAUGCCAUUGCACCAGAUUUAGCUAGAUAGCUAAUUUUCAUCUGUAGUCCCUGGGCAGAAAACAAUCAACAUUAAUACAUCAAUGUCUUAUCUGGUGUCCUGUGUGAUCUUAGAUUUGCUCCCUCUAAUUUUCCCAUCUCUCCCCUCCCGGAGGACCUGAGCUCUUGGACCAUGCCUCAGGACUACCUGACCUGACGACUCCUGGCUAUCCCCAUCCCCAAUCCACCUGGUCCUGCUGCUGAUCCAGUGUCUGCUGCUGUUCUGCCUGCGGCUAUGGAACCCUGACCUGUUCAACAGUCGUGCUACCUUGUCCUGGACCUGCUGUUUCGACUCUCUCUCUCUCUUUACUGCACCUGCUGUCUCGAUGCUCGACUAUGAAAAGCCAACUGACAUUUACUCCUGAGGUCCUGACCUGUUGCACCCUCGAUAACCACUGUGAUUAUUAUUUGACCCUGCUGCUAAUCUAUGAACGUUUGAACAUCUUGAAGAACGAUCUGGCCUUUAUGGCCAUGUACUGUUAUAAUCUCCAGCAUAUCCAGAAGAGGACUGACCACACCUCACAGCCUGGUUCCUCUAGGUUUCUUCCUAGGUUCCAGCCUUUUCAAGAGUUUUUCCUAGCCACCAUGAUUCUGCAUUGCUUGCUCUUUGGGGUUUUAGAUUCAGUUUCUGUAUAAGCACGUUGUGACAACUGCUGAUGUAAAAAGGGCUUUAUAAAUACAUUUGAGUGCUUGAUAAUAUGAAUUGCCCUGUUGUCCUAUCAGUAUAGCCAUAUCUGAAAAACACAGAAUUCAGAUUGUAUUUUGUCAUAGAUAAGGCUAUAUCUAACAGAUCGGAUACUUGUAGAGUUACCACCACGAUGCAGUAAUUUCUAAAGAAAAAUGUAAAGAAAAAAAAUUGGACAUCCAUUUUUUUAUACCUUUUUGUUCAUUUAUUGUUACAGAAUAAUAAGUAGUUUUCAGUUAUAUAGGCUAUUGUUAUAUCAGUGUCCCAACAGUAUGGGACCAGGCAUCGCAUGGCCCCUAGAUGGCUGUCUAAGCAUGAGGGAUAUUGAACUCGAGGGUUCAGAAGUGGGCUAUCCUUCAGUGUAGCUUGAUGCACUUGAUGCACUUUGACUUGGCCAAUAAGCUUCUCUUAGAAAUCACAUUUCCCCAUCAGUGUCUUGUGUUUGGCUGUUGUUCUUGAAAUCACUCUGUCUCAAGAAUCCAUGCCUGACUGUACAGUCUGGGCUGGGUUGAGGUGAAACACUGGUGUUUGAAAUUAAAUGGUUACAGAUUUCAACAAUGUCUGGCAGAGGCAGGCAUAGUUUAGAAGGAAUAUGCUAGUUACAUUUGGACGUCCAAUUGUAAUCUUGAGUCAGAUCUUUACCAUGUGUUUGUACAAGACGAGUUAUAGAAAAUGUUUCAAUGUGUUGCACAUUACAGCAGACACUGCAGUUUGAGAUUGACAUUGCUUUAUAACAGUGACAUGAACAUACUUGGUGGUUAUGAUAUCCGGCUCAGUGCUUUCUGAUCAUUUGUCAAUAUAACAUUUUAUGGAUUGGUGAGCAGCCAGAGAUUACACAUGUUGGUUGGAUCCAUAUGUUUUCCAAGCAAGAGCAGGCGACUUUUGCGGUAUUUUUGUUGGUCUGUUUUCAAGCAAGGACAAGAAACAUUUGUGAUUAUGAUGCAUUGCAAAAUGUAUGAUAAAUAUGAUCACAUACACACAGUAUUGAAUGCCUCAACAAAUCCAGUCAUUGUUCAAAUUGAGUGCAAAAAUCACUGCAAACUAAUUUAAAAGUCAGUUGGCGAGAGUGGGGAGGGAGACCCUUUCCAAGUUUCUCUGGAGUUUCAAAAUGUUGAACAAAUACUGUGCAGGAGAUAAAACAUUGGAUGCUGUCCUGCAGACAUUUUGGCCCAAUGAUCAAGAGGGUCUGGACUUACCCAGAGUACAACACUUAGACUGUACAUUUUUUAAACAAACUCCCCUGACCUGGCCUUAUAGGGUGCCAACUCUACAUGCAUUCCCCCACAAUGACGGGCAUGGUGACUACUGUCUGUUUUACUGUCCAUGUGUUUAUUAACUUCAAGCUGAAAAACAAAGCAGACCCAACUUUGUCUGAGACCUUUCUCUAAUUGACAUAUGUAUCAAGUACUCCUACCAAGUUUGUUUCUUUAUUUGAUCUCCUUGCUUGGAGAGUAAUAUAGUCAGUGUUAUUUUCCCAUUGACUAUGGGAUAUAUUUGCUGUACAUUCUAGACUGUUAGUUGUGUGUCUGCUGUGACACAUAGGUAGAGCCUAUAUUUCACCUGCCAAACCUCUUCCCUCAAGGCACCAGCUGCUAAUGAGGCCAGGGUGAAGAGGAGCUAGCUGGCUGAAAAUUGAAUGCUGUGGCUAAGGGACUUCAAAUACAUUUUUUUUUGUAAGGUUCAUUUUAUGCUCACUGAAGGUAAAUACGGGGUUCAUUUAGUGCGCAGGAAUUUUCUGUGCCAUGCAUUUGGCACUACCUAGACACUACAAGGUCACAGAGUGCUUUUGUAUGCAAGGCCACAGUCAGCUCUGUCUAGACCCAGACAGAUGAUGUCAUAUUGCAGGGCCAGGGGGUGGGAUUGUCUCUGGACUGAUUGUCUGGUCUGGGUAUCAUCCUCCCAAGCUUCAGUCUGACCUACUCCAAGCUUUCCCGAAGAAAGGUCUGGUCAGAUUUAUUGGACAGUUAGCAAUGCUUCAGCAGAGUUCCAAACGAUAAAUCACCAGUCCAGACCUGGGUUCGAAUAGUAUUUGAAAUUAUUUAAAAUACUUUAGCUGUGCAUGAUUAAGCUUUCUUGUUGCAAUGUAAGCAAUAAAGCACUCCCAAAAGUGCAAACCAUGCCCACCUGGCACUCCAGGCAGGCUAAAAUAAACUCUCAAAGUAUUUGAAAGAUUUCGACCAAGGUCUAUACUAGCCUGGCAAUUAUUAAUUUGGUGUUUUAGGUGAUCGGCUAAUUGAAUACUAAGUGACAUAAUCUUCUAAAAUAGUAGCCUUAGUUGUUUUAGCUUGAGGGAUUGUGUAGUUUGUGAUCAUGUACAGUAAAUGUCAAAUAAAUACAUGGAAGAGAAGACUGAAUGAAUGUUGUGCUGAAUUUCACACAGUUAACACUUUUGGGACUAUUCCGUUGGUUCCAUUGUACCAGGCCAAUUAAAUCAAGCACAGCUUGAUUAUUUGAAGUAUUUGACAUACUGUAUUUGACCCAGGUCUGAUACACAUUAUAUAGCACAAUAUUACACUGGUUAUUUCAAGUCCAUUACGAAUGUGGCAAUCAGCAUAGUUUCCUCUCUGCUGGCGGUGCUGGGAAUAACAGUGUCUUGUCUUUCUAAAGUUCACUGACGUACAUAAAACACACAAACGUUCCAGAAGUAGGCCUAAUUAUGUGUGAAGGAUUAAAUUCUAUAACAUUGCCAUUUUUGGACCUUCAUAACACCUGUCAAACCAUUAAUUGUGUCUAAAUGCCUGGCUGAAAGUUCCUCCUAGAAAGCAGAAUGUUCAAUUCUUUCAGUUCCUGUAAAUUCCACCAGGAACGAUGACCCAAUUGUCACUGUCUACCUCCGUCUGUCUAUGUUUCACCGGUCGGUCCGGGAGAGGCUCGCUGCUACAUCACUGGGUAAAUUUGUUUUCUUGCUGCCAAAAUAAAGUUUGGACAAAGUUUUCUGACAUGAAAAAAAAAACAACGGCUCAUUACAUGGAAGCAGCAGGAGCAUAGAGAGCAGGACUCUUUCUUGGAUUCAUGCUAAAUGACGUGCUUCACAUAGAGAUAGCUAGGCGUUACUCUACCAUUUCCUUGACUGGGAGGGGAGGGAAAAUCACACAGCCGUGCACUCCUUGACCUUCAUGUCUACAAUUAGUUGUUAUUCAACAUCCAACUGGCCUGGGACUGGGAGAAAAUAAGGAAAUAUCACUGCUGACUGCUCAUAUGUACUGACUCUUGAGGCAAUGAGUUUGUCUGAGGAGGAGGAGGAAAUCAUUUUUUGACAAGCUUGUUGCCUACAUUACACCCAAACACACCAAUAACACCAUCACCCAACAUGUCCUGUUCCAUCCCAUAAUGUUGCAUCAUUCAUCUAAAUCUUGCAUGAUAGUCCAUAUCCUCCUCCUACUAGGCUACUACUGUGCAGGUUUGAUGGAUCCAUUUUAUAUUGCCACAACAUUUUUCCUCUCCUUUGAUGUGUGAUGACAGAACUGGUAACUAUGUGGCAGAACUGACAUGGGUGUGCUUGUUGCUAUAUUUAAAUGCUAGCCCUGACAAGGCUCUGUUGUCAGUCGUAGACCUGGCACUUGGUGUCUCAUGGUCAUCCUUCAUUUUAUCAUAACCAACACCAAAACCUUCCAUUGAUGUAACUCUAAAGAUAACAGUUUGAUUCAGGCCAGUGUCACUGGAAAAUGCCAAUUGUUUAAAAAUGAGGGGAACAGCAACUGUAUGACACAGCGCUAAGAGACCAUCUAUUAUAUAAUCAUGCUGGUUGGCACAUAUAUCCAACAUAUUAAAGUAUACAAACAUGUUAAGUGAAAUAAAGUAUUUCUUAAAUUUUUUAACAAGUAAUUCAAACAACUGUCUAAAUAAAGUACAAAAUUAA
This is a long non-coding RNA of Salvelinus fontinalis (brook trout), 7911 nucleotides long. RefSeq lists it as uncharacterized. The record is from RefSeq and is a predicted model, not a curated record. The transcript is spliced from 2 exons. Lineage: Eukaryota; Metazoa; Chordata; Actinopteri; Salmoniformes; Salmonidae.